AAAGAUUAAGCCAUGCAUGUCUAAGUAUAAGCAAUCUAUACGGUGAAACUGCGAAUGGCUCAUUAAAUCAGUUAUCGUUUAUUUGAUAGUACCUAACCUACUUGGAUAACCGUGGUAAUUCUAGAGCUAAUACAUGCUAAAAACCUCGACUUCGGAAGGGGUGUAUUUAUUAGAUAAAAAACCAAUGCCCUUCGGGGCUCCUUGGUGAUUCAUAAUAACUCAACGAAUCGCAUGGCCUUGCGCCGGCGAUGGUUCAUUCAAAUUUCUGCCCUAUCAACUUUCGAUGGUAGGAUAGUGGCCUACCAUGGUGUUAACGGGUAACGGGGAAUUAGGGUUCUAUUCCGGAGAGGGAGCCUGAGAAACGGCUACCACAUCCAAGGAAGGCAGCAGGCGCGCAAAUUACCCAAUCCCGACACGGGGAGGUAGUGACAAUAAAUACUGAUACAGGGCCCUUUCGGGUCUUGUAAUUGGAAUGAGUACAAUUUAAAUCCCUAACGAGGAAUCCAGGG
RNAcentral lists this ribosomal RNA (509 nucleotides) under uncultured Leptodontidium. RNAcentral's name for it is "SSU rRNA". It matches the Rfam family "Eukaryotic small subunit ribosomal RNA", at positions 39 to 550 of the family's 1831-position model. The record is from RNAcentral. Lineage: Eukaryota; Fungi; Ascomycota.